GGGUCAGUAGGUUGGUCGUGCCACCGGUACGUACUGGUCUCACUGAUUCCUCCUUCCUGAAGAACCGUAAUGCCAUUAAUUUGGUGUUGCGGGGGAACAGGACUGUUACUUUGAAAAAAUUAGAGUGUUUAAAGCAAGCUAACGCUUGAAUACAUUAGCAUGGAAUAAUGAAAUAGGACGAUCGAUCCUAUUUUGUUGAUUUCUAGGAUUGAAGUA
Molecule: ribosomal RNA, 216 nt
Filed under: Glomeromycotina sp.
Lineage: Eukaryota; Fungi; Glomeromycota
Description: partial small subunit ribosomal RNA
Rfam family: Eukaryotic small subunit ribosomal RNA (bases 40-216)
Source: RNAcentral